GAUGAACGCUGGCGGCGUGCCUAAUACAUGCAAGUCGAGCGAACAGACGAGGAGCUUGCUCCUCUGACGUUAGCGGCGGACGGGUGAGUAACACGUGGAUAACCUACCUAUAAGACUGGGAUAACUUCGGGAAACCGGAGCUAAUACCGGAUAAUAUAUUGAACCGCAUGGUUCAAUAGUGAAAGACGGUUUUGCUGUCACUUAUAGAUGGAUCCGCGCCGCAUUAGCUAGUUGGUAAGGUAACGGCUUACCAAGGCAACGAUGAGUAGCCGACCUGAGAGGAUGAUCAGCCACACUGGAACUGAGACACGGUCCAGACUCCUACGGGAGGCAGCAGUAGGGAAUCUUCCGCAAUGGGCGAAAGCCUGACGGAGCAACGCCGCGUGAGUGAUGAAGGUCUUCGGAUCGUAAAACUCUGUUAGUAGGGAAGAACAAAUGUGUAAGUAACUAUGCACGUCUUGACGGUACCUAAUCAGAAAGCCACGGCUAACUACGUG
This 497-nucleotide ribosomal RNA is filed under the name uncultured bacterium. Its description in RNAcentral is "partial 16S ribosomal RNA". It matches the Rfam family "Bacterial small subunit ribosomal RNA", at positions 28 to 507 of the family's 1533-position model. The record is from RNAcentral.